RNAcentral lists this ribosomal RNA (496 nucleotides) under uncultured bacterium. RNAcentral's name for it is "partial 16S ribosomal RNA". It matches the Rfam family "Bacterial small subunit ribosomal RNA", at positions 29 to 507 of the family's 1533-position model. The record is from RNAcentral.
AUGCACGCUGGCGGCGUGCCUAAUACAUGCAAGUCGAGCGAACGGACGAGAAGCUUGCUUUUCUGAUGUUAGCGGCGGACGGGUGAGUAACACGUGGAUAACCUACCUAUAAGACUGGGAUAACUUCGGGAAACCGGAGCUAAUACCGGAUAAUAUUUUGAACCGCAUGGUUCAAAAGUGAAAGACGGUCUUGCUGUCACUUAUAGAUGGAUCCGCGCUGCAUUAGCUAGUUGGUAAGGGAACGGCUUACCAAGGCAACGAUGCAUAGCCGACCUGAGAGGGUGAUCGGCCACACUGGAACUGAGACACGGUCCAGACUCCUACGGGAGGCAGCAGUAGGGAAUCUUCCGCAAUGGGCGAAAGCCUGACGGAGCAACGCCGCGUGAGUGAUGAAGGUCUUCGGAUCGUAAAACUCUGUUAUUAGGGAAGAACAUAUGUGUAAGUAACUGUGCACAUCUUGACGGUACCUAAUCAGAAAGCCACGGCUAACUACGUG